Molecule: long non-coding RNA, 1311 nt
Filed under: Cyanistes caeruleus (blue tit)
Lineage: Eukaryota; Metazoa; Chordata; Aves; Passeriformes; Paridae
Description: lncRNA (ENSCCEG00000021518.1)
Source: RNAcentral
CUGAGCACAUGGGGCUCAGCUCUGCCUGCACUAGCGACACAUGGGGUGGCUCUGAGUGAUUCUCAUCACAGCCAGCACCUCUGAAAUGGCUGCCAUGGUAUUUCUAUCCCCUCAAAAAUCCUCCAGGAGCACUGAUGAAAAGAGGAGCACUUGAGAAAAACAGGUGCAUCUUGCAGAGAAACUAAUUUACUGGAGCACAGCAAAACCAGAAAAACCCAAACCUACGUCCUACAGCUUACACCAGGCUGGAGCAAGGGAACUCAACAGCUCCUCGGGUUCAGGACCAGUCUUAGUUCACACAGAAGGGCUCCUCCAGGCACUCUGCUCAUCGACAUCAUUCUCACUGCCUCUCAUCUGCCUCUGGCAGUGGAGAGGCGUCUCCUCCGCCCUCAGUCUCCUGCAUGGAGCACUGUUCCUUUACUGCUGUUCCCACGUUGGGUGGCUCCAACUGAACAGGAUAAGGUAGCCGAGGGCUCCUUCUUCCUCAGCCUUUCCUGUCUCGCUCAGAGGUUCCAUAGGUAGGACUGAGCAGAGCACUCUGCACGUGACAGCAUAUGUCACCUGCUCCCCUCUGUGACUGUGCACGAGACACACCCUCCUCUAGGAAAGGGUUGGGGAACCCACACAUGAGAAGUCAUCACUGAAAGAGGAGCCUUCCAUCUUUUUCUGCCUGCAGGAAGACAAACCUUUAUAUUGAAAUCAGGGGUGGGAAGGAACCUGAGAGCUCCACUCCGCAGGCUACCAUGCCCUGAGUUUUUUCAGCUGUUAUUUUCUGAGGAACACUGAGCCAGCCCAGUGAGAGGCGGGUGACAAGGCUCCACGUGCACCCAGUCCAACAGUGCAAAUACAAGGGCUGGAAGGAGGCUCAAGACUGGAUGCUUCCCAGUUAACCCACAGGCAAGGCUGAGGAGACUGUGUCUUGCUAUCCCCAGGAGGAAGUAGGGGAACCAGGCACACAAGGAGACUGAAGAGAUCCCAAUGAAUCUCCGAGUGGUGAUUAGUGGAUUACGUGCAUCCCAGGGCCUGCCUCCAAUCACUUUCCCCUGCAAAUUGCUCAGCCCCGAUGCAGCAGCACAGAGCAAAGUGGGCUCUGUCGCCAGGGCCUGGUCCUCAUUAUGGCCAGGAGACGGCAGGAGUUUGUUUACACGGCUGGAACAUCAUCCUCCCGGGCAGCUCAUCAGCCUUUCCCCAGGGUUUCUGCUCACUGAAUGCUUCGAAGUAAUCACCACCAGCUACCUACACCCCGAGCAGCAUCUCAGCAAUUCACCAAGUCAACUGACAACAGCUUGAGCACGGCUGCCAGCGCUGCGC